AGGAUGAAGGCCUUCGGGUUGUAAACUGCUUUUGUACGGAACGAAAAAGCUUCUCCUAAUACGAGAGGCCCAUGACGGUACCGUAAGAAUAAUGCACCGGCUAACUACGUGCCAGCAGCCGCGGUAAUACGUAGGGUGCGAGCGUUAAUCGGAAUUACUGGGCGUAAAGCGUGCGCAGGCGGUUAUGUAAGACAGAUGUGAAAUCCCCGGGACUCAACCUGGGAACUGCAUUUGUGACUGCAUGGCUAGAGUACGGUAGAGGGGUGAUGGAAUUCCGCGUGUAGCAGUGAAAUGCGUAGAUAUGCGGAGGAACACCGAUGGCGAAGGCAAUCCCCUGGACCUGUACUGACGCUCAUGCACGAAAGCGUGGGGAGCAAACAGGAUUAGAUACCCUGGUAGUCCACGCCCUAAACGAUGUCAACUGGUUGUUGGGAAUUANUUUUCUCAGUAACGAACCUAACGCGUGAAUUUGACCGCCUGGUGGAGCUACGGCCGCAAGGUUGCAAACUCAUAUGA
RNAcentral lists this ribosomal RNA (516 nucleotides) under uncultured Delftia sp. RNAcentral describes it as "bacterial SSU rRNA". It matches the Rfam family "Bacterial small subunit ribosomal RNA", at positions 405 to 908 of the family's 1533-position model. Lineage: Bacteria; Pseudomonadati; Pseudomonadota; Betaproteobacteria; Burkholderiales; Comamonadaceae. The record is from RNAcentral.